This 400-nucleotide ribosomal RNA is filed under the name uncultured bacterium. RNAcentral describes it as "bacterial SSU rRNA". It matches the Rfam family "Bacterial small subunit ribosomal RNA", at positions 356 to 773 of the family's 1533-position model. The record is from RNAcentral.
GGGGAAUCUUGGACAAUGGGGGCAACCCUGAUCCAGCGAUGCCGCGUGAGUGAAGAAGGCCUUUGGGUUGUAAAGCUCUUUCACCUGUGACGAUAAUGACGGUAACAGGAGAAGAAGCCCCGGCUAACUCCGUGCCAGCAGCCGCGGUAAGACGGAGGGGGCUAGCGUUGUUCGGAAUGACUGGGCGUAAAGGGCGCGUAGGCGGCCUAUGAAGUCAGACGUGAAAGCCUUGGGCUUAACCUGAGAAUUGCGUUUGAUACUGAUAGGCUAGAGGACGAGAGAGGAAAGUGGAAUUCCGAGUGUAGAGGUGAAAUUCGUAGAUAUUCGGAGGAACACCAGAGGCGAAGGCGGCUUUCUGGCUCGUACCUGACGCUGAGGCGCGAAAGCGUGGGGAGCAAAC